AGAUGUGACAGCUAUCUGGCUGUGACAUCUGUUGCCCCAUUUAUCACCAGGGUUGAUUUCGCUGAUCUAGCUGGCUAGGCAGGUGUUUUCUUUUUCCCUCACCACUCUGUGUGCACCUCUCCCAAAGCUUUGCCCUCUGUUGAAGAGGAAGGCAUUCCAUGAAUGGUCUUUGGUUGAGGGCAUACAAGUAGUUGUGCUCCCCUGCUCCAAAUAAGCUCUCAAUGUCCAAGUAUAUAUGAUGUUUCCUAGGGAGAUUGAAAGGAUAUGAUGACAUAUCAAUGCCCUUUAUCCCUUUGCAU
Erinaceus europaeus (western European hedgehog) is the source of this 299-nucleotide non-coding RNA. The record is from Rfam. Lineage: Eukaryota; Metazoa; Chordata; Mammalia; Eulipotyphla; Erinaceidae.